GAUGAACGCUGGCGGCGUGCCUAAUACAUGCAAGUCGAGCGAACAGACGAGGAGCUUGCUCCUCUGACGUUAGCGGCGGACGGGUGAGUAACACGUGGAUAACCUACCUAUAAGACUGGGAUAACUUCGGGAAACCGGAGCUAAUACCGGAUAAUAUAUUGAACCGCAUGGUUCAAUAGUGAAAGACGGUUUUGCUGUCACUUAUAGAUGGAUCCGCGCCGCAUUAGCUAGUUGGUAAGGUAACGGCUUACCAAGGCGACGAUGCGUAGCCGACCGGAGAGGGUGAUCGGCCACACUGGAACUGAGGCGCGGUCCAGACUCCUGCGGGAGGCAGCAGUAGGGAAUCUUCCGCAAUGGGCGAAAGCCUGACGGAGCAACGCCGCGUGAGUGAUGAAGGUCUUCGGAUCGUAAAACUCUGUUAUUAGGGAAGAACAAAUGUGUAAGUAACUAUGCACGUCUUGACGGUACCUAAUCAGAAAGCCACGGCUAACUACGUG
RNAcentral lists this ribosomal RNA (497 nucleotides) under uncultured bacterium. Its description in RNAcentral is "partial 16S ribosomal RNA". It matches the Rfam family "Bacterial small subunit ribosomal RNA", at positions 28 to 507 of the family's 1533-position model. The record is from RNAcentral.